AGAGUUUGAUCCUGGCUCAGGACGAACGCUGGCGGCGUGCCUAACACAUGCAAGUCGAGCGGAGUAGAGUUCAACACUGAGUAUUCGAGCGUUGGCAAAAGUUAAGCCAGCGUCAUGCACAAACUACCUUGUUGAUAGACAUAUUUAAAAGAAAGUUUUGUGCAUCACGCUAAAUUAAGUGCCUAACACAAUGCUAUGACUAAAACAAGUCAAAAUAGUAUUGAUAAGAAACGCCACACUUGAGUGCUGAGUGUUGGACUCUACUUAGCGGCGGACGGGUGAGUAACGCGUGGGCAACCUGCCUUGCACAGGGGGAUAACACAGGGAAACUUGUGCUAAUACCGCAUAACAUCACGGGGAGGCAUCUUCCUGUGAUCAAAGGAGAAAUCCGGUGCAAGAUGGGCCCGCGUCCGAUUAGCUAGUUGGUGAGGUAACGGCUCACCAAGGCGACGAUCGGUAGCCGAACUGAGAGGUUGAUCGGCCACAUUGGGACUGAGACACGGCCCAGACUCCUACGGGAGGCAGCAGUGGGGAAUAUUGCGCAAUGGGGGAAACCCUGACGCAGCAACGCCGCGUGAAGGAAGAAGGCCUUCGGGUUGUAAACUUCUUUGAUUGGGGACGAAGAAAGUGACUGUACCCAAAAAACAAGCCACGGCUAACUACGUGCCAGCAGCCGCGGUAAUACGUAGGUGGCAAGCGUUGUCCGGAAUUACUGGGUGUAAAGGGCGUGUAGGCGGGGAUGCAAGUCAGAUGUGAAAUUCCGGGGCUUAACCCCGGCGCUGCAUCUGAAACUGUAUCUCUUGAGUGCUGGAGAGGAAAGCGGAAUUCCUAGUGUAGCGGUGAAAUGCGUAGAUAUUAGGAGGAACACCAGUGGCGAAGGCGGCUUUCUGGACAGUAACUGACGCUGAGGCGCGAAAGCGUGGGGAGCAGACAGGAUUAGAUACCCUGGUAGUCCACGCCGUAAACGAUGGAUACUAGGUGUAGGAGGUAUCGACCCCUUCUGUGCCGGAGUUAACACAAUAAGUAUCCCACCUGGGGAGUACGGCCGCAAGGUUGAAACUCAAAGGAAUUGACGGGGGCCCGCACAAGCAGUGGAGUAUGUGGUUUAAUUCGAAGCAACGCGAAGAACCUUACCAGGGCUUGACAUCCCUUGAAAGUCCUAGAGAUAGGAUUUCUCUUCGGAGCAAGGAGACAGGUGGUGCAUGGUUGUCGUCAGCUCGUGUCGUGAGAUGUUGGGUUAAGUCCCGCAACGAGCGCAACCCCUGUUGUUAGUUGCCAUCAUUAAGUUGGGCACUCUAGCGAGACUGCCGGUGACAAAUCGGAGGAAGGUGGGGACGACGUCAAAUCAUCAUGCCCCUUAUGUCCUGGGCUACACACGUACUACAAUGGCUGUUACAAAGGGAAGCUAAGCCGCGAGGUGGAGCAAAUCCCCAAAGGCAGCCCCAGUUCAGAUUGCAGGCUGAAACUCGCCUGCAUGAAGUCGGAAUUGCUAGUAAUGGCAGGUCAGCAUACUGCCGUGAAUACGUUCCCGGGCCUUGUACACACCGCCCGUCACACCAUGAGAGUCUGCAACACCCGAAGUCAGUAGUCUAACCGCAAGGAGGACGCUGCCGAAGGUGGGGCCGAUGAUUGGGGUGAAGUCGUAACAAGGUAGCC
Molecule: ribosomal RNA, 1656 nt
Filed under: uncultured Clostridium sp.
Lineage: Bacteria; Bacillati; Bacillota; Clostridia; Eubacteriales; Clostridiaceae
Description: bacterial SSU rRNA
Rfam family: Bacterial small subunit ribosomal RNA
Source: RNAcentral